This 1382-nucleotide ribosomal RNA is filed under the name uncultured bacterium. RNAcentral describes it as "bacterial SSU rRNA". It matches the Rfam family "Bacterial small subunit ribosomal RNA". The record is from RNAcentral.
AGAGUUUGAUCCUGGCUCAGGAUGAACGCUGGCGGCAUGCCUAAUACAUGCAAGUCGAACGAGGGUCCUUCGGGACUCGAGUGGCGAACGGGUGAGUAACACGUAGGGAACCUGCCCGUGCGGCCGGGAGAACUUUCGGAAACGGAAGCUGAUACCGGAUAGGGACAGAGACGGCAUCGACUCUGUGUUAAAGGAGCUGAAAGGCUCCGCGCACGGAUGGACCUGCGGUGCAUUAGCUGGUUGGUGAGGUAACGGCCCACCAAGGCGACGAUGCAUAGCCGGCCUGAGAGGGCGGCCGGCCACAUUGGGACUGAGACACGGCCCAGACUCCUACGGGAGGCAGCAGUAGGGAAUUUUCGUCAAUGGGCGCAAGCCUGAACGAGCAAUGCCGCGUGAACGAGGAAGGUCUUCGGAUCGUAAAGUUCUGUUGAAGGGGAAAAAGAGCGGAGAGAGGAAAUGAACUCCGAUUGAUAUUACCCUUCGAGGAAGUCACGGCUAACUACGUGCCAGCAGCCGCGGUAAUACGUAGGUGGCGAGCGUUAUCCGGAAUGAUUGGGCGUAAAGGGUGCGUAGGCGGCCUGCUAAGUCUGGAGUGAAAGGUACCGGCUCAACCGGUGCAGGUUCUGGAAACUGGCGGGCUAGAGAGCAGGAGAGGGCGGUGGAACUCCAUGUGUAGCGGUAAAAUGCGUAGAUAUAUGGAAGAACACCAGUGGCGAAGGCGGCCGCCUGGCCUGUUACUGACGCUGAGGCACGAAAGCGUGGGGAGCAAAUAGGAUUAGAUACCCUAGUAGUCCACGCCGUAAACGAUGAGGACCAAGUGUUGGGGAAGACCCAGUGCUGCAGUUAACGCAGUGAGUCCUCCGCCUGGGGAGUAUGCACGCAAGUGUGAAACUCAAAGGAAUUGACGGGGGCCCGCACAAGCGGUGGAGUAUGUGGUUUAAUUCGAAGCAACGCGAAGAACCUUACCAGGCCUUGACAUAGGGUGCGAAGCUAUGGAGACAUAGUGGAGGUAAACAUCCAUACAGGUGGUGCAUGGUUGUCGUCAGCUCGUGUCGUGAGAUGUUCAGUUAAGUCUGGCAACGAGCGCAACCCUCGUGAUGUGUUACCAAUAUCGAGUUAGGGACUCACAUCAGACUGCCGGUGAGAAACCGGAGGAAGGCGGGGAGGACGUCAAAUCAUCAUGCCCCUUAUGGCCUGGGCUACACACGUACUACAAUGGCGGCGACAGAGGGCAGCGAGCCUGCGAAGGCAAGCGAAUCCCCAAAAAGCCGUCCCAGUUCGGAUUGGAGUCUGCAACCCGACUCCAUGAAGUUGGAAUCGCUAGUAAUCGCGGAUCAGCAUGCCGCGGUGAAUACGUUCUCGGGCCUUGCACACACCGCCCG